This 406-nucleotide ribosomal RNA is filed under the name uncultured bacterium. RNAcentral describes it as "partial 16S ribosomal RNA". It matches the Rfam family "Bacterial small subunit ribosomal RNA", at positions 28 to 526 of the family's 1533-position model. The record is from RNAcentral.
GAUGAACGCUAGCUACAGGCUUAACACAUGCAAGUCGAGGGCCCGGCGCACGGGUGAGUAACACGUAUCCAACCUGCCCUUUACUCGGGGAUAGCCUUUCGAAAGAAAGAUUAAUACCCGAUAUAAAGGAUGGGGAUGCGUUCCAUUAGGUUGUUGGUGAGGUACCGGCUAACCAAGCCUUCGAUGGAUAGGGGUGCUGAGAGGAAGGUCCCCCACAAUUGAACUGAGGCACGGUCCAAACUCCGACGGGAGGCAGCAGUGAGGAAUAUAAGGCAAGGGGCGCUAGCCUGAACCUGCCAAGUAGCGGGAAGGAUGAAGGCUUAUGGGUCGUAAACUUCUUUUAUGUAAGGAUAUGUAUUAUAUGAAUAAGGAUCGGCUAACUCCGUGCCAGCAGCCGCGGUAAUAC